This 647-nucleotide ribosomal RNA is filed under the name fungal endophyte sp. MS25. RNAcentral describes it as "eukaryotic LSU rRNA". The stretch from base 276 to 429 matches the Rfam family "5.8S ribosomal RNA". The record is from RNAcentral. Lineage: Eukaryota; Fungi.
GGCAAAGGCGGGAGGGACAUUAAUGAGUUAUUAAACUCCAAACCCUAUGUGAACCUUACCGUCGUUGCCUCGGCGUGAGCUACGGCUACCCUGUAGUUACCCUGGAGCUACCCUAUAGCUACCCUGUAGUUACCCUAUAGCUACCCUAUAGUUACCCUGCAGCUACCCUAUAGGUACCCUGGAGCUACCCUGUAGACGGCUUAUGGCCCGCCGAAGGACCGCUAAACUCUUGUUUUUAUUGCUGUUAUUCUGAAUUAUAAACUAAAAUAAGUUAAAACUUUCAACAACGGAUCUCUUGGUUCUGGCAUCGAUGAAGAACGCAGCGAAAUGCGAUAAGUAAUGUGAAUUGCAGAAUUCAGUGAAUCAUCGAAUCUUUGAACGCACAUUGCGCCCAUUAGUAUUCUAGUGGGCAUGCCUAUUCGAGCGUCAUUUCGACCCCUAAGCCCCUGUUGCUUAGUGUUGGGAAUCUACGGCGUAGUUCCUUAAAGUUAGUGGCGGAGUUAGGGUACACUCUCAGCGUAGUAAUAUCUCUCGCUCGUGUGGUGGCCUUGGCUGCUGGCCGUUAAAACCCCUAUAUUUUUUAGUGGUUGACCUCGAAUUAGGUAAGAAUACCCGCUGAACUUAAGCAUAUCAAUAAGCGGAGGAAU